GAAAUUCCAUUUUACUUUCCUCAUAUACAUUACUUUACCAUUUAUUUCAAUUAUUUUCAUAAUCACACAUUCUUAAAUCAUAAUCUCAUCACUCAAACCCUUCAAAACUUCAACCUUACUUAUUCUUUUUUUCCACUCAUCACUCAACACUUUCAUUGCAUUGCUUUUCAUGUUCCAAACUCAAAACCCCAAAAAUCCAUUUUCCUCAUUUUCAUUUCAUCAAACACUUGGUACCCAUUCUACUUUCAUCCAAGUUUCAGUCUUUCUCAUUGGAGUGGCUUGAAUUGUCGCACAACAUCAGAUCCGUUUACGUUUACAUUUUUCUUGUGGAACAAAUAA
Vicia faba (fava bean) is the source of this 339-nucleotide non-coding RNA. The record is from the annotation of a GenBank genome assembly. NCBI's taxonomy places the organism in Eukaryota, Viridiplantae, Streptophyta, Magnoliopsida, Fabales, Fabaceae.